This 503-nucleotide ribosomal RNA is filed under the name uncultured Archangiaceae bacterium. Its description in RNAcentral is "bacterial SSU rRNA". It matches the Rfam family "Bacterial small subunit ribosomal RNA", at positions 8 to 492 of the family's 1533-position model. Lineage: Bacteria; Pseudomonadati; Myxococcota; Myxococcia; Myxococcales; Archangiaceae. The record is from RNAcentral.
AGAGUUUGAUCAUGGCUCAGAGUGAACGCUGGCGGCGUGCUUAACACAUGCAAGUCGAACGGGACUUACCUGAGAUUACAUCAAAGGUAAGUUUAGUGGCAGACGGGUGAGUAUCACAUGGGUGAUCUUCCUUCGAGAGGAAAAUAACUCGCCGAAAGGCGAGCUAAUGUUCCAUAAGACCACGACCUUUCCUACGAAAGGUUGGGGCCAAAGCUCCGCAAGGGGCACUUGAGGAUGAGCCUGUGUCCUAUCAGCUAGUUGGUGAGGUAACGGCCCACCAAGGCUAAGACGGGUAGCCGACCUGAAAGGGUGAUCGGCCACACUGGAACUGAGACACGGUCCAGACUCCUACGGGAGGCAGCAGUGGGGAAUUUUGGACAAUGGGGGCAACCCUGAUCCAGCAACGCCGCGUGAAGGAUGAAGGUCUUCGGAUUGUAAACUUCUUUUGUAGGGGACGAAUCACGCCGUGAAUAACGGUGAAUGACGGUACUCUGCGAAUAGCC